This 498-nucleotide ribosomal RNA is filed under the name uncultured bacterium. RNAcentral's name for it is "partial 16S ribosomal RNA". It matches the Rfam family "Bacterial small subunit ribosomal RNA", at positions 899 to 1397 of the family's 1533-position model. The record is from RNAcentral.
ACUCAAAUGAAUUGACGGGGGCCCGCACAAGCGGCGGAGCAUGUGGAUUAAUUCGAUGCAACGCGAAGAACCUUACCUGGGUUUGACAUGCACAGGAUCCCAGCAGAGAUGUUGGUUCCCUUGUGGCCUGUGUGCAGGUGGUGCAUGGCUGUCGUCAGCUCGUGUCGUGAGAUGUUGGGUUAAGUCCCGCAACGAGCGCAACCCUUGCCCUAUGUUGCCAGCGCGUAAUGGCGGGGACUCGUGGGGGACUGCCGGGGUCAACUCGGAGGAAGGUGGGGAUGACGUCAAGUCAUCAUGCCCCUUAUGUCCAGGGCUUCACACAUGCUACAAUGGCUGGUACAGAGGGUGGCGAUAUCGUGAGGUGGAGCGAAUCCCUUAAAGCCGGUCUCAGUUCGGAUCGUAGUCUGCAACUCGACUGCGUGAAGUCGGAGUCGCUAGUAAUCGCAGAUCAGCAACGCUGCGGUGAAUACGUUCCCGGGCCUUGCACACACCGCCCGU